This 4253-nucleotide long non-coding RNA is filed under the name Sus scrofa (pig). RNAcentral's name for it is "lncRNA (ENSSSCG00000057696.1)". Lineage: Eukaryota; Metazoa; Chordata; Mammalia; Artiodactyla; Suidae. The record is from RNAcentral.
UGAGUAGGAUUCACUUUAACCUCCACCUCUGUUGUCACACAGUAUUAUCUUCUUGCGGUAUUUCCCAUCUCAUUUUCUUCCCUUCUCUUCUUAUGAGGACAUCGAUCAUUGGGCUGAGGUCCCCAACAACCCCAGUUUAUAUUCACCUUCUUGUUCCAUAUGCAGAAACCCUAUUUCCCAAUAAGGGCACGUCCUGAGGUACAAGGGCUUAUGAAUUCCACAUAUCUUUUUAAGGGAAACAAUUCAACCCAUAACAACUUCAUUAGAGCUUAGUCACAUGUCCACAACAAUAUUUGAGUAUGAGGAUAAAUGUCAACACUGGCUAGAUUAUCACCAUCCCAAAUUAAACUGCUGCUGUUACCAAGAAAGAAGAGAAUAGAUAUUGUCUAUCUUAUCAAGUAGUAUAUCAUUGAGCACCUACACAGCAUCCAGAAUGUUGUGUGGCAUGUAGUAGACCCUCACUAAAUAUUUUUUUGAACAAACGAAUGAGUGAUCUAGAAUUAUACUUAUGAGAAGAAAGCACAUGGUAAUGGGACAUAUUUAUAAAGUACAAUAAACUGUAAAGUCUUACCUAAAACUGGAAACUAUAUCUUUAUCCAGAGAAGAUAAGCUUCAAAUUUUUGGAGGCUUUUAAUGAUCUGGAAUGAAGUGUCUAUCACAGAUUCUGGAUGCAUUUGCACAAAACUGGAAAUACUAUAAGCCCUGGGCAAGGAAAAACGGGGCUUUCUGACCACAUCCUAUCAGUAAGCCUGAAUUACUAGAAAUGGUUGGGCCUACCCAUCAGGGCACACAAGAACUAAAUGCAAAGAAGGCAGGCAGAAGGCCUGGGAAUCAGAACCAACUUACAGAAAUAUUUGGUGGGCAGCAGUGUUUUCAAAUUUUUAAUUUAUUGCCAUGUUUUAAACAUGAUUUCAGGUAGAAAUAUGCAUUUCCAACUGUUUUUUAAAACCCAAAGAUUUGAUAAUAUUGAGCCCAAAUAAAUACGUAGCAAUUAUUGGUUGAGCCUGAGUAUGAGCUGUCCAAUUCAGAUGGGGAAAGAAUUCCCUAUUCUUCCAGUUACCCUCUUCACAAAUUUAUGCUUCUUUCCUGAACUCUCAAUGCAUUUGAGUUUGUCACUCUUGGUCUAAUGUCACCUAGAAAACCUAAAGUAGGUGCCUUCAUAUACCUAAAUUUCUUCAGUUUUAAAGUAUUAAUAUUCACAGCAAAUAUUCAAAGCACUGUAGCAAUGGAUGUAUGGCAAGGGAAAAUAAGAUGAUAUCUCUAAAUUGUAUAAUAUACUACCCAGGCUUCUUUCACACCAGACUGUUGACAACAGGAAGAUGUGCCUUUCUUUUCAUCUCAUGUUUUGGUGCCAUGAAUUGGUAAUUUGACCAAUGAAUAAAGGAAAACUAAUGUGUUGAUUCUAAAGAAACAAUAUAUGGGGAUGAUAUAGAUAUAGAUACACACACACACACACACACACACACACUUCACCAAAAUGUUAAAAAAAAAAAGCUCAUUGGACAUAUUGCCAAGUAUUAUCCAUAGUGUUGGAUUUUAGCAGGGAAAAAAAUAGAUCCAAAUCCCUGCCCUCAUAGAUCUUGUCUAUUGUUAUUGUUUAAGGAAAAAGAAAAGAGUAAAAAACAAAUAUUUUAAAAUGUAAUAGUCAAAUAAUUAUGACAGCUUUUAAGAAAAAUAAAGAAAGAAAAAGGAAUAGGAAAGUCUAGAUCAAAACAAUUUUUCAAAAGGUACUUAAGUAAAGCAUCACUUAAGAAAGAAGACAAUAUCUGAAGAGAUGAGAAAACAGUCCAUGCAAUAUCUUAGAGAAGAACCUUCAAAGCAGAGGUAAAACAAGGCCAAGGAAUUGAGACAAUGGGAGCACUAAUGGCAUGUUCAAGGGAUGUGAAGGACAGCAGAGCAUCAGGAUGAAUGAGUAAGGAGAAUAGCAGAAGGGGAGGCCAGGAAACUGGGAGAAUCACGUAAGCUGCCAUAUGUCAUUUUAAGUAUUUUGAAUCUACUAGGAAGAGAUUAGAAACCAAGGAGUAUGUAGAGCAGAGAGAUGAUAUGACCUGAUAUUGUAUUUUAAGGCAUCAUUUUGGCUGCUAUGUUGAGUUAGACUGUGAGAGGUAAGAGGGAAAGAUAGGAAACAGGGAUAUUACUUAAGACUUAUGAAGUCUACCCAGGCAGGAGAGAAUGUUGACUUGGACCAAGAUCAAAGCAAUGGGAAUGGUGAAGAGGCUUCAGAUUUUGAAUAUAUUUUAAGGUAGGAUUUGCUAAUGGAUUGUAUAUGGCAAAUAAGAGAAAGAAGUCAUCAAAGGUGAAUCCAAGGUUUUUAAGCCUAAAAGCCACCAUUUCCUAAGAUGAGGAGGUCUGAAGUGAUUGCAUUCUGGGUAGGGUGGGCAGAGGCUUGAUAGGGAAUUUGCUUUAAGUUUCAGAUGCUUGUCAGACAUUCAAAUAGGCUAAAGAUGUCUAGGCUAAAGAUAAAUUUGGGAAUUCUACUGAAGAAAAAUGGUAAUUAAAAUUAUGAAACUGAAUAUUAUUACCAAGAGAAUGUGUGAAAAGAUAAGCAGAGAUCUGAGAACUGAACCAGGGGUACUCCAAUAUUUAAAGUUUAUGAGAUAAAUAAGAAUAAGCAAAGAAUAGCAAUGAAUUAGGAGUAAAAUCAGAAGGAUAAUGUUCCAAGAAGCUGGUAUAAAAGUAUUUCAAAGAGGAAGGUUGAAAACUGAGUCAAGUGUAGCUGAUAGGUAAAGAAAGAUCAAAAUUUAGAACAUAUUAUUGGGUUUAACAAAGGAAUAAAAUUUGGUGCUUUGAAAAGAUCAGUUUUGAAAGAGUAAUGGAUGGAAGCAAAACCCUGACUCAGAAGUCUUCAAGAGUGAAAGUGGACAUAACCAGAGACAAUGGGUAUGGACACUGAUUUCAACUAUCACUUUCUAAAAGGUGAAAAUUGUCAGAGACUGGAGAAAAAGGAGGAGACUAGGGAAGCUUUUCAGUUUUGAUUCUGUUUAAAAAUGGAAGAAAAAGUAGAUAUAUAUAAAUUGAUUAUUAUGAUACAGCAGAAAGAAGGAAAUAUUAGAGUCAGGAGAGAAGAAUAUUUCAAGCAGGUGAGAAUUAAGUAGUUCUGAUACAUAAGUGGAUGGUUUACCCUUUUUAUGAGUUCAGUCAGUUCAUCCACAGGAGAUGGAAAGUAUCAUAUAUAGAUGCUAAGGAAGAUAAAUAGGUAGAUGUGGUGGUGAGAGCCUGUAAACGCUGUCUUCAGAUUUUGCAUUAUUUUCUCAGUGUAUUGAAGUAAUCAGUUAAGAAUGAGGAUGGAAAACUUAGAGUUUGGAAAAGAGAGAAGAGGUAGGAAAAACUGGCCUGGAAGAGUAAGAGUGAAUGAACUAGGGUAAGGGUGAAUGAAUGAGGAGGAUGGCUGAGCAGUGCUUAGAGUCCACUCAAGAUCAGACAUGUAUUUAAAGUGAGACCCGAAAGUCUGGUCCAGUAAUUUGCUACAACUGCAUUUGCUGUGCAAGUGCAGGGACAAUGCAGGUGGAGAGAAGUAUUUAACUAGGUUUGGAAUUUUGCCAGGCAACUAUGGUAAAGUGAGAUGGGUAAGGAAGUUGAAGUAACGGAGAGGUUUAAUGCCCAGUGACAGAAUCUAACUUGGAUAAAGAAGCAUCAUGGACAUAAAAUGGUGGUGAAGGAGGGCAAAAAGUAAAAGGAUCUAAAAAUUGUGCCAAUAAGCUCAAAGAAGAGUUGAGUUGAAAGAUAUUAGAAAAGGUGGGAUGGAGGAUUUCCUGUCAUGGCUCAGCAGGUUAAGAACAUGCCUAGUAUCCAUGAGGAUGCAGGAAUGAUCCCUGGCCUCACUCAGUGGGUUAGGGAUCCAGUGGUGCCAUGAGCUGUGGUGUAGGUUGCAGACUCUGCUCAGAUCCCACAAUGCUGUGGCUGUGGCAUAGGCCUGGAAACUUUCAUUUACUGCGGGUGCGGCCCUUUAAAAAAAAAAAAAGUGAGAUGGAAAGAUACGAAGAGGUACUUGGAAAAUGCUUGAAAUUAGGCUACAAAAAUGUUACUUUCUGCAAUGAUAAUGAUGUCAUCUAAGGUAUGGCCAUAGCAUUGAAUAGCUAUGAAAGGGUGAAGGACAAGAUCAUUGGAAGGGAGACAGGAAAAGAAGUUUGAAGUCAAUUUAUUAGAAAAAUUGUCUAAGUAGAUAUUGAAAUCACCAAAGAAUUUCAUAGUUGUCAAGGAGCUAAAAUCGUUCAGGAACAAGAGGUACUGAAGUUGGGUCAGUGGAUGACUGC